CCCAUUUUCUCCUCCCCCUCCCCGAUUUUCUCGGACCACAGAGAGACCGCGCCGACGCGCAGCGCCGCAUGUCCCGGCGUCCAUGGCGGCUCGCCGUAGCAGCCCGCAGCGGAGGGGUCCAGCGCGCUGCUCCGUCGAUCUUGGCCACCCGUGCCGCUCUCAUGGCGUUAGCGGCGGGAGGGAGGACGCCGGUGCCGCGGCGACUUGAGGAUGGCGAACGGGGCGAGGCUGCGGCCACCGCGUCGUCUUCUUGAGGUGCGGCAACAGCUGGAGCUUGUGGCUACUCCACCCACGGUGACAGCCGCGUGCGGCGGCCCGAUGCGCUUGGGCUUCCGGAUGGCUGAUGUAUACUCCUGCAAUAAAGCUUUUGGGGUAUGAUUCGAGCCACUCGUGCUUCAGCCAAUCAUCCAUCGUACAGCUGGCAAGUGAAAUAAGUCUCUAUUAUUUCAACAGUUGGCUGCUAUCGGAAAGAAACCGUAAACUUGGCAACAUAUGGACUUCAGCGGUGCAGACAGACGGAGAAGUCUUCAUUUUUUCAAAAGAAACUGACAUCUGACGAUAACAGUAAUGAGAAUUCAAACGUUGAACAUUGAAACCUGGAAAAUAACAGUUGUUGGUUCAUGCAUUUGCAGCACAUGAUUCACAGGAAUAAUUAGCAUCAGACUGGAGAUUUCCUUACUAGUAUAGUUUUCAUUUUUCUCAUUAGUAUUUGUUUAGACUGUAUGGUCGCCUGCGACAUAGAAUAGAGAUAAAAGCAUUAGUAAAGGCUCAUUCAUUGAAAAUCAAAAUCAUAGAGACAGGAAAAGAAAAUGAGUUUCUAUCA
Molecule: long non-coding RNA, 823 nt
Organism: Triticum aestivum (bread wheat)
Lineage: Eukaryota; Viridiplantae; Streptophyta; Magnoliopsida; Poales; Poaceae
Exons: 2
Source: RefSeq, a predicted model, not a curated record